This 301-nucleotide ribosomal RNA is filed under the name uncultured bacterium. RNAcentral describes it as "partial 16S ribosomal RNA". It matches the Rfam family "Bacterial small subunit ribosomal RNA", at positions 509 to 807 of the family's 1533-position model. The record is from RNAcentral.
CAGUAGCCGCGGUAAUACGAAGGGUGCAAGCGUUAAUCGGAAUUACUGGGCGUAAAGCGUGCGCAGGCGGUUAUAUAAGACAGAUGUGAAAUCCCCGGGCUCAACCUGGGAACUGCAUUUGUGACUGUAUAGCUAGAGUACGGCAGAGGGGGAUGGAAUUCCGCGUGUAGCAGUGAAAUGCGUAGAUAUGCGGAGGAACACCGAUGGCGAAGGCAAUCCCCUGGGCCUGUACUGACGCUCAUGCACGAAAGCGUGGGGAGCAAACAGGAUUAGAGACCCCAGUAGUCCCUGUCUCUUAUAC